RNAcentral lists this ribosomal RNA (441 nucleotides) under uncultured bacterium. RNAcentral describes it as "partial 16S ribosomal RNA". It matches the Rfam family "Bacterial small subunit ribosomal RNA", at positions 338 to 795 of the family's 1533-position model. The record is from RNAcentral.
CCUACGGGAGGCAGCAGUGGGGAAUAUUGCACAAUGGGGGAAACCCUGAUGCAGCGACGCCGCGUGAGUGAAGAAGUAUUUCUGUAUGUAAAGCUCUAUCAGUAGGAACGAGACAAGACGGUACCUGACUACGAAGCCCCGGCUAACUACGUGCCAGCAGCCGCGGUAAUACGUAGGGGGCAAGCGUUAUCCGGAAUUACUGGGUGUAAAGGGAGCGUAGACGGCUGUGCAAGCCUGAAGUGAAAGGCGGGGGCCCAACCCCGGGACUGCUUUGGAAACUGUAAGGCUGGAGUGCAGGAGAGGUAAGCGGAAUUCCUAGUGUAGCGGUGAAAUGCGUAGAUAUUAGGAGGAACACCAGUGGCGAAGGCGGCUUACUGGACUGUAACUGACGUUGAGGCUCGAAAGCGUGGGGAGCAAACAGGAUUAGAUACCCUGGUAGUC